This 459-nucleotide ribosomal RNA is filed under the name uncultured bacterium. RNAcentral's name for it is "partial 16S ribosomal RNA". It matches the Rfam family "Bacterial small subunit ribosomal RNA", at positions 339 to 795 of the family's 1533-position model. The record is from RNAcentral.
CUACGGGCGGCAGCAGUGAGGAAUAUUGGUCAAUGGACGCAAGUCUGAACCAGCCAUGCCGCGUGCAGGAUGACGGCCCUAUGGGUUGUAAACUGCUUUUAUUAAGGAAUAAACCCCAUUACGUGUAAUGGGCUGAACGUACUUAAAGAAUAAGCAUCGGCUAACUCCGUGCCAGCAGCCGCGGUAAUACGGAGGAUGCAAGCGUUAUCCGGAUUCAUUGGGUUUAAAGGGUUCGCAGGCGGCGUAUUAAGUCAGUGGUGAAAUCCCCCGGCUCAACCGGGGAACUGCCAUUGAUACUGGUAUGCUAGAGUAUAGUUGGCGUAGGCGGAAUAUUUCAUGUAGCGGUGAAAUGCUUAGAUAUGAAAUAGAACACCGAUCGCGAAGGCAGCUUACGAAACUAUAACUGACGCUCAGGAACGAAAGCGUGGGGAGCGAACAGGAUUAGAUACCCUAGUAGUC